CAGAGCUGGGGCUGAGGGAUGGACUGAUGCUUUUAGGCUCAAACGUGGCUUUUAGACAGAUUUGUUCAUAGACCCUCUCAAGUGCCCUCUCCGAGCUGAUGUUCUCUCCCAGGGGCUGGCUUCAGGAGGGAGCAUAGAAGGCAGGCCCUUUCCUCAGGCAAGGUCUGGCCUCAGGUGGGCCGCAGGCGGGAAGAGCAGCCCUUGGCCAGAAGUCAAGCCCAGCCACGUGGAGCCUAGAGUGAGGGCCUGAGGUCUGGCUGCUUGCCCCCAUGCUGGGGCCAACAACUUCUCCAUCCUUUCUGCCUCUCAACGUCACUUGAAUCCUAGGGCCUGGGUUUUCAUGUUUUUGAAACAGAACCAUAAAGCAUAUGUGUUGGCU
Molecule: long non-coding RNA, 379 nt
Filed under: Pan troglodytes (chimpanzee)
Lineage: Eukaryota; Metazoa; Chordata; Mammalia; Primates; Hominidae
Description: long non-coding RNA NONPTRT018394
Source: RNAcentral